CAUUUUAAAAACAAUUCCAAUUAAUUCGCGGCAAAUAGAUUCAAUGCCCUAGACUACUUUUGUCAUCAGUAUCACCAUCCCCAACUCCAAAAAUCCGAUAGAAUCACCAUUUCGUCGAGCACAAGUCUCAGAGUCUCGAAUGGCGAUUUCGAUUUGAGACGUUAGGGUUCCUCUUUGAUCCUCCAGUGCAAAUACAAUGUUCGGAGCUCAACCGUCCUCCUCCGCCUUCGGCACUCCACAAUCAACUCCGGCCUUCGGCACUCCGCAAUCAACUCCGGCAUUUGGCACGCCGGCGUCCACUCCUGCCUUCGGAACUCCAUCGGCGUCUCCUGCAUUUGGCAACCUUUCCUCAACUCCUGCCUUCGGAACUCCAUCUACGUCGUCGUUUGCUACCGGCUUUGGCUCAUCGCUUUUCUCCACUCCAUUCUCUUCUCAGCCUUCACAACCGCAGCAGCAGUUGCAGCAAUCGCCGCUAUUUCCGCAACCAGCCGCCACUGGGUUCGGUUUCCAGACUCCGUUUGCUGCGCCUCAGUCCACUCCAUUUCCAAAUGCUCAACUGACUACUCAGAUGGCCCCGGUCGCACCGCUUCCUUUCUCCCUCGCAGAUCGAGAUAUUCAAGCAAUUGUUGAGGCUUACAAGGACGACGCAGGAAACCCUAAGUAUGCUUUCAAGCAUUUGUUGUUCAGUGUAACUGAUCCUCAAUAUAGGGUGAAGCCUGCUGGUGUAUCGGAUAUAAUGUGGGCUGAGGCAAUGGCAAAGCUUGAAGGCAUGGAAAGUGCUGAUAGAGAGCGAUUGUGGCCGCAGCUUGUUCAAGGUUUUAAGGAUUUGUCUCAGCGCUUGAAGAUUCAAGAUGAAGUCAUUCUCUCUGAUUCUGAUAGACUUCGGAUGACCCAAAGCAAUGUCAAAAUGCUUCAAAGGCAUUUUCUAGCCGAUACUCUACCUUGGGUUCAAAGAUUGAAACAGAAGGAGCAAGGUCUUCAAAGGCGUCUGUUGAGAGUUAUGAGAAUUGUGGAAGCGCUAGAAAGUAAAGGUUGCCGAGUGCCUGUAAUGAAAGGAGAGGCUGAAUUGGCAGAGAAGUUAGCUUUGAUAACGAGGCAGUUGAAAGGAUCUGGAGCAGAACUUUCAAGGAGGGUGCAAAAUUUGCUUACAAUUACUCGUGGUCAAGCAAAUGGCUCCAGUGCUGGUAACUCCAUCUAUCUUCAAGGAUCAGCAAAAAUACACGAGCAGAGUCUUGCUGAUAUGCAGGAGGUUUUGCAGCAACAGACUGAGGCCAUUGCUAGACUUGGAAAUGUUUUAAAGCGGGAUGUUAGAGACAUGGAAAUCAUAAUGGCUGAAGACAGAGAAAUGACAGAUGAUGCGAGCUAAAUGAAAUUGAGUUCACAUUUCUAGCCAUUGUUCUGUUUGUUAUUAGAUAUACUUGGCUUGAUUUUUCCAAAUGGAAAAAUUAAUAUUCGUUUUCAAAACUUUUAUGUACUGCUCAAGGUGCUAGCCGGGAUCUCUUUUGAGAGACGUGGGUUAGUACUUGGUUAAGGUCAACUUUUAACUGCUUAAUACCUAUACAAUUUUGAUUUGAUGCAGUGUUAAAGGCUAAUAAGGCAGCAUGAACAGUUGCUAUGUUGGUCUCUUAACGUAGCCAGCAUCAUCAGAGAAAGGCCUUGGACUCAUCUUUUCCUCGUCAGGUGAAUGAGAUAGAAGUUCAUAUGGCGUUAAAAGAUUGAAUUGCAAAUCACUCAAGAUUUCAUAUGAUGGUCGUCUUCAUGUUCCUUUGGAUUAGUUUUGCCUUGUUGGUGUUGUCGUUUUGACGAGUACAUCUUCGAUUAGUGUUAGCAACAUUGAGUUGUGUUGUCUGCUGAAUAAUAUUUUCUAUAUUUACUAAGUUUUGGUCACAUAUUGAGUUCAGCUCUGGUAAAUUGUGUAUUGGUGUA
This is a non-coding RNA of Benincasa hispida (wax gourd), 1926 nucleotides long. The record is from RefSeq and is a predicted model, not a curated record. Lineage: Eukaryota; Viridiplantae; Streptophyta; Magnoliopsida; Cucurbitales; Cucurbitaceae.